UGGUGAAAUGGCGUCAGGAUGCGUCAGA
RNAcentral lists this non-coding RNA (28 nucleotides) under Homo sapiens (human). The record is from RNAcentral. Lineage: Eukaryota; Metazoa; Chordata; Mammalia; Primates; Hominidae.